AGAGUUUGAUUCUGGCUCAGGAUGAACGCUGGCGGCGUGCCUAACACAUGCAAGUCGAACGAAGAGGCCCCUCGGGGGUACUCAGUGGCGGACGGGUGAGUAACACGUAGGUGACCUACCCCCGAAGUGGGGGAAUAACAGUCCGAAAGGAUUGCUAAUACCCCAUGUGAUCGAUGAGGUUAGAGUCUUGUCGAUUAAAGCAGUAAUGUGCUUCGGGAGGGGCCUGCGCCCCAUCAGCUAGUUGGUAGGGUAAUGGCCUACCAAGGCUACAACGGGUAGGGGGCCUGAGAGGGUGACCCCCCACAUUGGCACUGACACACGGGCCAAACUCCUACGGGAGGCAGCAGUGAGGAAUAUUGCUCAAUGGGCGAAAGCCUGAAGCAAGCAACGCCGCGUGCGCGAUGAAGGCCUUCGGGUCGUAAAGCGCUUUUGAGAGGGACGAGAUAGGACGGUACCUCUGGAAUAAGUCACGGCUAACUACGUGCCAGCAGCCGC
Molecule: ribosomal RNA, 495 nt
Filed under: uncultured bacterium
Lineage: Bacteria
Description: bacterial SSU rRNA
Rfam family: Bacterial small subunit ribosomal RNA
Source: RNAcentral